Molecule: non-coding RNA, 73 nt
Organism: Phrynosoma platyrhinos (Desert horned lizard)
Lineage: Eukaryota; Metazoa; Chordata; Lepidosauria; Squamata; Phrynosomatidae
Source: the annotation of a GenBank genome assembly
GCCAGUAUGGGUUAGUGGUUUGACAGCUGGACUAGGAUUCUGGGAGGCCAGGGUCCAAAUCCCUGCUCAGCCA